RNAcentral lists this ribosomal RNA (253 nucleotides) under uncultured prokaryote. Its description in RNAcentral is "partial 16S ribosomal RNA". It matches the Rfam family "Bacterial small subunit ribosomal RNA", at positions 525 to 777 of the family's 1533-position model. The record is from RNAcentral.
ACGGGGGGGGCAAGCGUUGUUCGGAAUUACUGGGCGUAAAGGGCCAGUAGGCGGCCCACUAAGUCGGAUGUGAAAUCCCCGGGCUCAACCCGGGAACUGCGUCCGAUACUGGGAGGCUUGGAUCCGGGAGAGGGAUGUGGAAUUCCAGGUGUAGCGGUGAAAUGCGUAGAUAUCUGGAGGAACACCGGUGGCGAAGGCGACUUACUGGACACAUAUUGACGCUGAGGUGCGAAAGCGUGGGGAGCAAACAGGA